GAUGAACGCUGGCGGUAUGCCUAACACAUGCAAGUCGUACGAGAGUUUUCGGACUCUAGCGGCGGACGGGUGAGUAACGCGUGAGAAUUUGCCUUUAGGAGGGGGAUAACAAUUGGAAACGAAUGCUAAUACCCCAUAUGCUUUCGAGUGAAACGGAUUUAUCCGCCUAAAGAGAAGCUCGCGGCUGAUUAGCUUGUUGGUAAGGUAAGAGCUUACCAAGGCGACGAUCAGUAUCAGGUUUGAGAGGACGAUCGGACACACUGGAACUGAGACACGGUCCAGACUCCUACGGGAGGCAGCAGUGGGGAAUUUUCCGCAAUGGGCGAAAGCCUGACGGAGCAAUACCGCGUGAGGGAUGACUGCCUAUGGGUUGUAAACCUCUUUUUUCAGGGAGGAAUAAAUGACGUGUACCUGAAGAAUAAGCAUCGGCUAACUCCGUGCCAGCAGCCGCGGCAAGACGGAGGAUGCAAGUGUUAUCCGGAAUCACUGGGCGUAAAGCGUCUGUAGGUGGCUUAAUAAGUCAACUGUUAAAUCUUGAGGCUCAACUUCGAAAUCGCAGUCGAAACUAUUAGGCUAGAGUAUAGUAGAGGUAAAGGGAAU
This 600-nucleotide ribosomal RNA is filed under the name uncultured bacterium. Its description in RNAcentral is "bacterial SSU rRNA". It matches the Rfam family "Bacterial small subunit ribosomal RNA", at positions 28 to 667 of the family's 1533-position model. The record is from RNAcentral.